CUCUUCUUUCCCGGCUGCUCUGCUCUACAAUCUCUCAGCUCCGCCCCCACAAGUGCUGGUCACAUGAUUGUGACAUCAGCAAAGGUCCUACACCUCCAGCAUCCUGUAGUACACAGCAGGUUCUAAUCAGGCAGUCAUUGCCAUUGUGCUGUGUGACUGCCCGCCCAGGAUCUGCCUGAUGCAGGGAGGAGAUAACUGACAGCUGACAUUCGGAGCACCAGUCUUUGCAUUUGAGGCACAGGCCCAGAUUGUUUGAACCUAGUGAUGCCCCUGCUGUCCUUAGAUGUAAAAUGAAGUGUCCUUACAAAGUGCAAUUAGUCGUGCAAAAAACAAGCCCUCAUCUGGGUCUGUGGAUGAAAAAAUAAAAGACAAGGAGGGAAAAAAUGAAAGUGCAAAAAGCUUUUUGCUAGUACAUGUCCUUUAGGAGCUGAGUUUCAACACAUUUUGGAGAGAAAAAAAUUGCAGCAAAAUCUGUAGUUAAUAAAUUAAGCUAGUAUCCUGCAGACUGUGUCUCUAGAGAAGAAGGAUUCAACAUCUGCAGCGUGGAUUCUCCACACUUCUGCUCAGGAUGAUUGUGAUGAAAGCAGCCAGGGUACAUGACUGUUUAUUGGCAUCCAUGAGCUACUACUUGUCUCCUAAACUCUUCCUAAAAGACACUUAAAGAGAUGGAGGACCUCAAGCGAAGGAUUUAAUGGUGAUCUGCAAAAGAUUAUUCCCAACAGUUUAAUGCACUUAACUAAACCACCAGUUUCCCCUAUCAUAACUCAUAUAAAAUAUGGAAAAUAUCAAGCAGAUAACACAAAGACAGAAGAAAGAAGAAAAUACAUUCCUCUCCAUUUACUCCAUUGACUUCUGGGCUGAGUUUAACUCUAUUCACCUGGAUAAAGUAUUGUUAGAUGCAUUUUUUUUUACUAUGUUCAAAGUGCUAAAGUAAUAGGAUUUUUAACUGGCUCCUUGCUGGCAAAGUAUGAGCUCCCCCCUCAUCUGUUUAUAAAUCUAGGUGAUCGUCAUGUUAGUAGGACAUGUUAGUGAUGCACAAAAGGCCCCAAACAGCCACAGUGUACUGAAGUUUUUAAAUGUAAAUACAUAUUUGAUGAAGUUUAGGAGGAAAAAUAUAUUUUAUCUCCAAAAAUCCUGUUAAAUCAUUUCAUAUAUCUACAAUAAUAAUUUAUAUUAGAAAGGGGGUUAGGCCAUUUAUAAGCACUCUUAAGUCUUCUAGUAAACAGUCAGUCAGAUGGUGAAGCAGAGGCUCCUAUAUUUAUUCUAUUCUACUGUUCUAAGAGGUAAAUGAGUUUCCUGUCUAGGUUGCAUAGAAUGAGAAUGUCUGACAGGGGGCUUUAAAGAGUGUAUAGUCUAGAGCAAUAACAUAAUUGCAUUAUAAUUAUUAUUUUAUAAUGUAGCAUAUGCUGUUUUUAACACACACAAACAAACAUAUAUAUGUAUAUAAUGUACAGGUGCAAUGUAUAUCAAUGGCUAAAUUCAAUGGCACAAGCUACAGUCUGCCAAAAGAUUUACACAAACUAAAGAAAUAUUGCAGACUGAAUCCCUCAGAUCAUCAAUGAUCUUCUGCACAUUGUCUAAAAUAAAUUUAGUGUUUUUUUUUGUGUGUGUGUUUUUUGCACAAAAAUUAUAUUCAACUUCUCUAACGUUUAAUCCCUCAAUUAGGCUUCGCCCAAGGCAGUUUUCCUAUAUCUUCUGCUGUAAGGUGCAAACUGAAAGAGAUGGUUAUGUCAGGAAUUAUGUAAAAGGUAAUGUACUGUCAUAUAGAAAUUGGCAGUUAAAAAUAAAAAUCCAAAGUAAAAUUCCCAUUAUAGGAUUCCCAAAAAAAAAAAAAAAAUAACAACAAACAAAUAAUAAAAAAAAAAGAAUAAAGUUUUAAUGUCUUAAGGAUGCCGAUAAGUUUUAAAAGUUUAUCCUAGAACCCUUUAAGCUUGUGCCAGAAAAUUAUUCAGAUUUGUAGAUUACUUUUAUUAACCCCUUAAGGACAAAGCCCAUUUAAUUUUAGCGUUUUUGUUUUUUCUUCCUCGCCUUCUAAAAUCCAUAACUCUUUUAUAUUUCCAUCUACAGACCCAUAUAAGGGCUUGUUUUUUGCGUGACCAAUUGUACUUUGUAACGAAACCACUCAUUGUGCCAAAAAAAUGUAUGGCAAACCCAAAUAAUUUUUUUUAGGGAGGAAAUUUAAAUGAAAACCACAAUUUUGCACAUUUUGGAGGGUUUCUUUUUCACACUGUACACUUUACGGUAAAAAUGACAUGUGUUCUUUAUUCUGUGGGUCAAUGCAAUUAAAAUGAUACCCAUGGCUAGAUACUUUUAUAUUUUUGCACCGCUUAAAAAAAAAUCGCAAACUUUUUGUAAAAAAUCAGUAAUAUAAAAUCGCCCUAUUUUGACCACCUAUAACUUUUAAAUUUUUCCGUAUAUACGGUAGUAUGAGGGCUCAUUUAUUGCGCCAUAGUCUGUACUUUUUA
This is a long non-coding RNA of Hyla sarda, 2465 nucleotides long. RefSeq lists it as uncharacterized. The record is from RefSeq and is a predicted model, not a curated record. The transcript has 4 exons. Lineage: Eukaryota; Metazoa; Chordata; Amphibia; Anura; Hylidae.